AUGACACAUAAUAGUAUUCAAAGUAGCAGCAUAGACUCUUGUCUUGAACUUACUCACUUUGCUCCUACCAAUCCACUUAAUGAUAUCUUGCUGAUUUGUGGCUUCCAGAUUCCAAUUAAUCUCGAAAAGUUUCCAACCUUGCUUUCGAUAGCACAAGUGUUGACAGUGAUAUCGCAGAAGCAGAAAGCGGCUCUUAGAGAGGUUUACAAGAAUAAGAAGUAUUUGCCACUUGAUCUUCGUACCAAGAAACCCGUGCCAUUCGAAGACGCCUUACCAAACAUCAGGCAUCAUUGA
Molecule: non-coding RNA, 294 nt
Organism: Vicia faba (fava bean)
Lineage: Eukaryota; Viridiplantae; Streptophyta; Magnoliopsida; Fabales; Fabaceae
Source: the annotation of a GenBank genome assembly